AAAGUUAAAACCUUACCAGUCAGGCAUACUUUUCAAAAUGAUGUGAUUUUAAGAGGGGGGAGGGAAUCAACAGAAUAUCGGCAACCUAACCAUAGGUAUGCAGGCUCAAGCCACCCCAAAUUAAACACAGCUAGGCGCCAUUGAUUUCAGUAGUAGGUGGCAGUGGAGAUUCUCUGAUUUCUAAACAAGCAACGCUGUUCAACAUCUGCACUAGACUGUCCUGGAUAGAAAACUAAAGAAAAGAAUGCAAAGCACUCCCUCUUUUGGACACUAGAAAAAAUUGAUCUCAACUAUGAAGUGAUUGACAUUGUGAUCUACCAUCUGUUCCACAGAUAAUCCUCAAGACUUCAUAAGUGAAAGAGCUCAUGUAUAUUUUCUCUAUGAACUGGAGUAUUUAUAAUUUAUUGAGUCAUGCUGAAGUAAAAAUUCAAACAUGCUGAGAUAUGUCUGGUAAAAUAAGCUUGAAAAAGCAAAUAAUGAUAUAAAUUUGCCACUGUGUCAUAAAUAAUGUUAUGCUUAUCUUUCCAGAAGACGUAAACAUCUGUCUAUCCUGAUAAAAUUUAAUUUAUAUUUUACAGCCUCUCGUGUAAA
Long non-coding RNA from Lacerta agilis (Sand lizard), 591 nucleotides. RefSeq lists it as uncharacterized. Lineage: Eukaryota; Metazoa; Chordata; Lepidosauria; Squamata; Lacertidae. The transcript is spliced from 2 exons. The record is from RefSeq and is a predicted model, not a curated record.